CGGCCUCCGCUCGUCAUCCCAUUCUCUGCUUUCCCCGGCACGUCAUUGGCUGCGGCUCCGCAGAAAAGUCCGCGGAGCCCCGCCCACAAUGACAGUACCAGCGGAUAGCGGGAGGCAGCCUUGGCACCGACUGGCUGCUGGCACCCUGGCGGAGGGCCGCUCGCGGCCGCCUGGGCUCCCCGACGAGCCCCCACUCUGGCGGAAGAAUACCGGGGGGCGGCGCGGGGGGGCAGGCUGAUGGGGGUCUGCGCUGUGCUGGAUGCCGGGGAGGAACCAUGUCGCAGCUGGGAGGGACCCCAGAAAAGGCAAUGUCAGAGGUUCCACAACUAUAAAAAGGGGCAAGAGUAUAGAUGAAUUUCAAGAUGACUUCCAGUACUGAAUUUUAUGACUUUUUCUACUUUUGGCAGUUCAAAAAGAUGUUAGUAAUAUGAAGAGAAUUCACAGAAGGAAGACAAUUAAGGUGAUGAUGGAUUUCAAGUCUUUGAUGAUUGAUUAAAGCAACUGGGAUGAAUAAGAGAUGACUUAGAGGUGGUGAUGGAUCUUCAAAUCUCAGACUGAGAGGGUUCUUCAGAGGCCAUCUAAUCUGACCCCUCCCUAAAGUAUAGAUAUUCUUUACAACGUUCCCAACAAACAGGCAACUAAUGUCAGUUUAAAGAUUUUCAGUGCAGGAGAGCUCACUUACCUUACAAAGUACACUUCCCAUGCUGUUUUGGACAGCUCUAGCCUAAGCUGAUUCUUGUUUUCACUCAGCUAAAACUGCCUCCCAACCUUAAGUUUGAACUUGUGAAGUUCAAAUGAUGAUGUCACCCACUCAAUAAAUAAUAUUUGAAGAAUAAUUUGCAAACAUUAA
RNAcentral lists this long non-coding RNA (850 nucleotides) under Sarcophilus harrisii (Tasmanian devil). RNAcentral describes it as "lncRNA (ENSSHAG00000030200.1)". Lineage: Eukaryota; Metazoa; Chordata; Mammalia; Dasyuromorphia; Dasyuridae. The record is from RNAcentral.